GUGGUAACGGGUAACGGAGAAUCAGGGUUUGAUUCCGGAGAAGGAGCCUGAGAAACGGCUACUACUUCCAAGGAAGGCAGCAGGCGCGCAAAUUACCCAAUCCCGACACGGGGAGGUAGUGACAAAAAAUAACAAUACCGGUCUUAUUUAAGUCUGGUAAUUGGAAUGAGUACAAUCUAAAACCCUCAACGAGUAUCAAUUGGAGGGCAAGUCUGGUGCCAGCAGCCGCGGUAAUUCCAGCUCCAAUAGCAUAUAUUAAAGUUGUUGCAGUUAAAAAGCUCGUAGUUGGAUUUUGGAGCUAUUUUCCAUAGAGUCCGCUCGUAAUGAGUGUGUUUACUUUAUGGGAGGCUCUCCUUACUGGAUAUUCACUAUUAUUCUUCACGGGAUAGUAGUUUUCAUCUGGCUGUCAAAGGUUGGGUGGAGUGCUUGGUGGGUCUGGGGGUCGGGAUUGUGGAUUUUCAGACGGGGCAACCUGUUUGGAGAUUCUGCCUGGUCCACUUCCGUCAAAGUAGAAUUCCAGUUCUUUUACUUUGAGUAAAUUAGAGUGUUCAAAGCAAACGAAUUAAAUUUUGUAAUGAAUACUAUUAGCAUGGGAUAAUGGAACAGGACGUUGGUUCUAUUUUAUUGGUUUCUAGAACUAAUGUAAUGAUUAAAAGGGAUAGUUGGGGGCAUUAGUAUUUAAUUGUCAGAGGUGAAAUUCUUGGAUUUAUGAAAGACUAACUUCUGCGAAAGCAUUUGUCAAAGAUGUUUUCAUUAAUCAAGAACGAAAGUUAGGGGAUCGAAGACGAUCAGAUACCGUCGUAAUCUUAACCAUAAACUAUGCCGACCAGGGAUUGGAAGACGUUUAAUUUAUAUAUGACUCCUUCAGCACCUUACGAGAAAUCAUAAGUUUUUGGGUUCUGGGGGGAGUAUGGUCGCAAGGCUGAAACUUAAAGGAAUUGACGGAAGGGCACCACCAGGAGUGGAGCCUGCGGCUUAAUUUGACCCAACACGGGAAAACUCACCAGGUCCAGACACAGUUAGGAUUGACAGAUUGAGAGCUCUUUCUUGAUUCUGUGGGUGGUGGUGCAUGGCCGUUCUUAGUUGGUGGAGUGAUUUGUCUGGUUAAUUCCGAUAACGAACGAGACCUCAGCCUGCUAAUUAGUUGGAUAAAUUAUAACGCUUAUGAGGGUCCUUGUUGAAGCUUGAUCCUUGUGGUUGAGAUUCA
This 1207-nucleotide ribosomal RNA is filed under the name metagenome. Its description in RNAcentral is "SSU rRNA". It matches the Rfam family "Eukaryotic small subunit ribosomal RNA", at positions 349 to 1404 of the family's 1831-position model. The record is from RNAcentral.